This 252-nucleotide ribosomal RNA is filed under the name uncultured bacterium. RNAcentral describes it as "partial 16S ribosomal RNA". It matches the Rfam family "Bacterial small subunit ribosomal RNA", at positions 525 to 776 of the family's 1533-position model. The record is from RNAcentral.
ACGGAGGGUGCGAGCGUUAAUCGGAAUUACUGGGCGUAAAGGGCGCGUAGGUGGCCAGAUUAGUCGGGUGUGAAAGCCCCGAGCUUAACUCGGGAAUUGCAUUCGAUACUGUCUGGCUAGAGUGCAGUAGAGGGAAGCGGAAUUCCGGGUGUAGCGGUGAAAUGCGUAGAUAUCCGGAGGAACACCAGUGGCGAAGGCGGCUUCCUGGACUGACACUGACACUGAGGCGCGAAAGCGUGGGGAGCAAACAGG